CCUCUCUCUCCAUCUCUGUCUCUUUCUCCUCUCUCUCUUCCUGCUUUUGCUCCCUAAGACGUUUGAAGCCAAAAUCCACCAUCUAGAGACCCGGCCUGCCCAGAGGCUGCGAGCUGGGGGCCCCCACCUGGAGUACUUCGUGCGCCUCGAGGUGCCCCGAGGGGACCUGGCCACCCUGCUCAGUGGUGUGCGCCAGGUGUCAGAGGACGUGCGCAGCCCUGCGGGGCCCAAGGUCCCCUGGUUCCCAAGAAAAGUGUCAGAGCUGGACAAGUGUCAUCACCUGGUCACCAAGUUCGACCCUGACCUGGACUUGGACCACCCGGGCUUCUCGGACCAGGUGUACCGCCAGCGCAGGAAGCUGAUUGCUGAGAUCGCCUUCCAGUACAGGCAGUGAGGGGCCCCUGCGCUCGGGACCCAGACUCCGUCCUGCAGGCUGACGCUGGACCUGGGAGGUGGGAGGGAAGGACAAAGGGGAGGACCCAUCUUGUCACCAGCAUCAGUGCCUCCUGCCAGGCAGCUCUGCUCCAGGGCUUUCCAUGUCCCCAAAUCCCAGUGGGGAAACUGAGGCCCAGGGGGGCUAGAGCAACCCGCCGAGGCCGCACAGCCGGCUCACGGCACAGUCAGCCGGGGUGCACCCUCUUGUCCAUCCUCCAACCCAAAGGCCUUGCUGCACUAGGCGGGUGUGGACCUGUGCCCAGUGAGGCUCCCUCCCUCCCUCCUGCCCUUCUUACUCCCCGAGGGGACCUGCUGACCACUGGCCCCCUCCCCAGCGGCGACCCGAUUCCCCGUGUGGAGUACACCGCCGAGGAGAUUGCCACCUGGAAGGAGGUCUACACCACGCUGAAGGGCCUCUACGCCACGCACGCCUGCGGGGAGCACCUGGAGGCCUUUGCUUUGCUGGAGCGCUUCAGCGGCUAUCGGGAAGACAAUAUCCCUCAGCUGGAGGACGUCUCCCGCUUC
RNAcentral lists this small RNA (960 nucleotides) under Pongo abelii (Sumatran orangutan). RNAcentral's name for it is "retained intron". Lineage: Eukaryota; Metazoa; Chordata; Mammalia; Primates; Hominidae. The record is from RNAcentral.